This 253-nucleotide ribosomal RNA is filed under the name uncultured Bacteroidales bacterium. RNAcentral describes it as "partial 16S ribosomal RNA". It matches the Rfam family "Bacterial small subunit ribosomal RNA", at positions 524 to 776 of the family's 1533-position model. Lineage: Bacteria; Pseudomonadati; Bacteroidota; Bacteroidia; Bacteroidales. The record is from RNAcentral.
UACGGAGGAUGCGAGCGUUAUCCGGAUUUAUUGGGUUUAAAGGGUGCGUAGGCGGCGCUUCAGGUCAGCGGUGAAAUACCGGGGCUCAACCCCGGGGCUGCCGUUGAAACUGACACCCUUGAGUGAGUGAGAAGUAAGCGGAAUGCGUGGUGUAGCGGUGAAAUGCAUAGAUAUCACGCAGAACGCCGAUUGCGAAGGCAGCUUACCGGCGCUCAACUGACGCUGAGGCACGAAAGUGCGGGUAUCGAACAGG